RNAcentral lists this ribosomal RNA (292 nucleotides) under uncultured eukaryote. RNAcentral describes it as "partial 18S ribosomal RNA". It matches the Rfam family "Eukaryotic small subunit ribosomal RNA", at positions 6 to 313 of the family's 1831-position model. The record is from RNAcentral.
GGUUGAUCCUGCCAGUAGUCAUAUGCUUGUCUCAAAGAUUAAGCCAUGCAUGUCUAAGUAUAAAUAGUAUACAGUGAAACUGCGAAUGGCUCAUUAAAACAGUUAUAGUUUAUUUGAUAAUCUUCUACAUGGAUAACCGUGGUAAUUCUAGAGCUAAUACAUGCUGUUGACCUGACUCACGAAAGGUCGUAUUUAUUAGAUACAAAACCAAUUGCCGCAAGGUAAUUGUGAUGAAUCACAGUAACUGAUCGAAUCUCGGCUUGCCGAGAUAGGUCAUUCAAGUUUCUGCCCU